This is a non-coding RNA of Stegodyphus mimosarum, 73 nucleotides long. The record is from Rfam. Lineage: Eukaryota; Metazoa; Arthropoda; Arachnida; Araneae; Eresidae.
GCCUUCGUGGUGUAGUGGCCAGCACGCUGGACUGGUAUUCCAGAGAUCCAUGUUUCGAGUCCCGGCGAAGGCG